This 2093-nucleotide long non-coding RNA is filed under the name Dromaius novaehollandiae (emu). RNAcentral's name for it is "lncRNA (ENSDNVG00000016645.1)". The record is from RNAcentral. Lineage: Eukaryota; Metazoa; Chordata; Aves; Casuariiformes; Dromaiidae.
CUGCCCCUCCACAGCUUUGGGACUACUGACCUAGAUAUAUGUCCCAUGUGAUGAUGUGACCCCCCUUCCAUUCAUUACACCUGCUUUGUGAAGAAGUUGGUAGCAGCUUGUAAGGAAAACUUGCCACCUCUGUGCUGGGUUUCUGCUCUGCCUGUAGGCUAUGGUUAUCCAGCAUUUCGGCUGUUUCCUGUUCCUGAGCCUCAGGACAAUCCCCAGGGUAAGUAGUCAAGAUGUAUUCACUUCCUAGAAGAAGCUUUUACGUUUCCAGCUUUUCCUGGUGGUGAGUGUAACUGAGUAAGUCGUUGGCUGAUGCUCAGAGCCACAGAAAAGCAGAGUGGGACUCAGGAGGCCUUGAGAGAUGUGCCCCGGGGUGCUUUGCCUUGCAAAGUCUUUGUGCUGCUUCCAAAGCCUGCUGCAAAGCCAGCGGGCUUGCUGGGGUUGAGUUUACAGCUUGCGUGAACUCCAGGGCGUGCUUUCCCGUAGCAGCUCUGUGCCUGCUUAGAUGGGUACCCAUACGGUGCCUGUGCAUGCACCCGGUGAGCGUUUGCAAGAUGCUCGUGAGUGGAAGGGCAUGACAAGGGCCUUGGUGUAGUUCUGUGUUCCUCGCCCUCAUUCACUACCGUUCAAAUCUGUGUUUGGUUACAGAUGUGGCCGACAUUGAUGGGCAUGCAGCUUCUCAGCUGGAUCCCCAUUUUGAACCGCAAGAUGGCCGUGCACGUAAGUCACGAAUAUUUAGCUUCUUUGAGAGCUUCCAUGUCACGGACACAAUAUCAGCCAGAUACCUUGUCAGCUUUACGUAUCUAGAGCUCUAUGUGUGUCCCUUUUUCCCCUUCCAUGUGCUGUCAUUGACUUGAAAAGCUGUGUCUCAAGCUCAAAUGGAAGUGUUUAUCAUGUGUUUUGGAUUACAGCUGUUCCCCUGCAGAGGGCUUAUCCAGCUUCUCAGCUGGAUGCUGUUGCUGAGCCUCCAGGUCUUCCCAGGGGUCGUCCAAGGGCUUUACAGCUGCAGGGGAGACGCAGGGGUAAGUUGUGAGCAUUUCUUUCCUUUGAGAGCUGCCAGGUGCCAGGCAAAAGGUCCUCUCUGCCCCUCCACAGCUUUGAGACUCGCGACCUACAUAUAUGUCCCAUCAUGCCCCUCCCCCCCCAUUCGCUUCCAUUUCGCUUUUGAAAGCACCAAGGGGCCGUGUGUUUGUCCUGGGGGUGCUUGGGGGCUGCUGGGUUGUGCCUCGACGGAGGAUUUUGGAGAGGCGCCAGGUCCCAGCCAACAAGUACCCCUGGCCCUAUUGCAGCUGGGAGACUCUCAAACUACAUGUGUGUCCCCCAUUCCCGGCAAGUCACUUCUACAGAAGUAUGUUGCAGCACAUAAUGAAAACUUGUCUUGUCUGUGUUUGCUCAUAGGUGUUCCUGCAGGCAGGGGCCUCCCAGGUUCUCUGCUGGAUCCCACUUCUGAGCCUCAGGAGCAUGCCAGGAAUGUGGCCAUAGGUGGUGGAGAUUUAUCUUCUCAUCUGGACUCUGAUUUUGAGUCUCUGGGGAAUCYCAGAGAUGUCCCUGAAGGCAGUGUUUCUCCAGGUUCUCAGGGGCUGAAGCCCCUCCUUGAGCCUUGGGGAAAUAAGUAGUCUCUCUUCCUUUCCUUUUGAUUUUCCUAUUAGUAUUUUCUCCUUUUUCCUCUUUUAUUGCCCUCUUGGGGAAUCCARGGUGCCCAGCACGCAUGCGACCUCCCUGAAGCCCAGAGGCACAGGUAGGGGUAGCGCUGGUUCAGGCUUUCACUGGCCAGUGGGCUCUUGCCCCUGAGAAGUGUCAAUCAGCUUUCUUGUCUGCCGGUGCCAAGAGACCAGAAUCAGCGAUAUAACACCACGGCAUGUAAAAUUGCCUGGGAGUCCCAAACACACAGUGAGAUUAUCAGUCCUGCAAAAGCCAGGAAUGUAUGGGAUUGUCUCCUUUCCUCCAGGUCUUGGUGGUGACAAAGAUGCAAAGGCYGCAGAUCAUAAAGCCCUACAGAUGUACUAUUUGGUCCUCCCUGCCGCAGUCUUGGGUUCCAUGCUGUUUGUCAUAGUGCUGAGCUGUAUAGUUACUUCCCGGCUGAGGAAGAGAAAACA